ACCAAGGAAUGUGCAGCAGUGAACGUUAGAAACUGAUCAGACUUGAGUGUCUGGUUUGCAGUGACUCGUUAAUCAUUGUCUCAGUUCCGGUUUCCUGCUCAGCUACAACGAUUCAUUUCACUUUAACAGCAACAGUUUGGAUCACUGUGUCUUUAUCUGUGACAUCUAGAAUGAGUCCUAUAAAGAAUAAACAUCUCUUGGUUUUGCAUCAUGUUGUUGUCGUCCUCCUUUUUCUAACACAAACUUGUGGUGGUCAGCAUCAAAUGAUUGGUCCAACUCAGCCAGUAGUGGCCAUGAUUGGUGAUGACAUCAUUUUGCCAUGCCACCUGGAACCUGCUGUGGAUGCUGUUGACCUGACUGUGGAUUGGUCCAGAA
Long non-coding RNA from Haplochromis burtoni (Burton's mouthbrooder), 375 nucleotides. RefSeq lists it as uncharacterized. The record is from RefSeq and is a predicted model, not a curated record. The transcript has 3 exons. NCBI's taxonomy places the organism in Eukaryota, Metazoa, Chordata, Actinopteri, Cichliformes, Cichlidae.